RNAcentral lists this microRNA precursor (183 nucleotides) under Glycine max (soybean). RNAcentral's name for it is "miR10407c stem-loop (gma-MIR10407c)". The record is from miRBase by way of RNAcentral. Lineage: Eukaryota; Viridiplantae; Streptophyta; Magnoliopsida; Fabales; Fabaceae.
AGUGAAAAGACGAAAAACCAAAAAAAAAUAUUAUAUGACAAAUAUGUCCCUAUGUUGGCAAUUAAAGAUGAUCACGUUGGUAAUCAUUUCAAUGACAAAUUCGUCCCUCUAUGUAAUGUAAGCUAUUUAUUAAUGAUUACAAAUGAAAGUUAACAGUCGGAUAUAUUUAUCGCACUUUUUACA